This 503-nucleotide long non-coding RNA is filed under the name Citrus x clementina. Its description in RNAcentral is "Citrus clementina (C. clementina) long non-coding RNA (CCLE_LNC001871)". The record is from RNAcentral. Lineage: Eukaryota; Viridiplantae; Streptophyta; Magnoliopsida; Sapindales; Rutaceae.
AAUAAGUAUAUAUUUUAUAUCUCAAGAUCAAAUAUCAAACAAAUAUCUCUUUUUUUCUUUAAAUUUUUGUGUCAAGUGAGUUAUUAGAUGUUAUGAAAAUAAUAACAGUGUAUUUUAUUUUAGUAGGAAACACUGACAAUCCCUCAUUUUUUUUAAUUAACUUUGCUUCUUUCUUUAUAUUCGAAUGAUUUACAAUUUUACAUACAUAUUCAUUUACAAAGUGGUGAUCUGGUGCCCAAAGUCACAUCAUGUAUACAAAUGCAAAUCAACGCAAAAAUAAAUUAAAUUUGUCAAAUCACCUUUCUUAGAGUUAAAAAGUGCUUUUGCUUUUCUUUAACAUUCAGCUCAUUUGAUAUAGUAAUUGUGAUGAAAUUUGUAUGAGUUGAUGUGCUUAAUUAGGCAUGCACUAUAUAUUAAUUAAUUGAUAAUCGAUAUAUGGGCUUAGGUCUUAAUUGGUAUUGAGGUGCUGUAAUUUUUAAAUUAUAGUUACUAUGAAAAGAACU